GGACAGGUGGCCGAGUGGCUUAAGGCGCACGCCUGGAAAGUGUGUAUACGUUAACCCGUAUCGGGGGUUCGAAUCCCCCCCUGUCCGCCA
Molecule: transfer RNA, 90 nt
Filed under: Alphaproteobacteria bacterium
Lineage: Bacteria; Pseudomonadati; Pseudomonadota; Alphaproteobacteria
Description: tRNA-Ser
Rfam family: tRNA
About the family: Transfer RNA (tRNA) molecules are approximately 80 nucleotides in length. Their secondary structure includes four short double-helical elements and three loops (D, anti-codon, and T loops).
Source: RNAcentral